This 21-nucleotide non-coding RNA is filed under the name Caenorhabditis elegans. The record is from RNAcentral. Lineage: Eukaryota; Metazoa; Nematoda; Chromadorea; Rhabditida; Rhabditidae.
UGAAUCUUCAUUUGCGGUUGA